AUUCUAGGAUGUAUCCAUUAUUUGCUACUCCUCAUUGAGCACAUCAUGUCUCAUGACGACAAUUCAUAUCACCAAGAUCGCUGAGAAU
Molecule: small nucleolar RNA, 88 nt
Filed under: Nitzschia inconspicua
Lineage: Eukaryota; Bacillariophyta; Bacillariophyceae; Bacillariales; Bacillariaceae
Description: Small nucleolar RNA SNORD24
Rfam family: Small nucleolar RNA SNORD24
About the family: U24 is a member of the C/D class of snoRNA which contain the C (UGAUGA) and D (CUGA) box motifs. C/D box snoRNAs have been shown to act as methylation guides for a number of RNA targets.
Source: Rfam by way of RNAcentral